CCGAGUCUGUAUGUGAUAUGUUGGCUCGGAGAUCAACGGUGGAAUCUUUUUCGCGUGCAAUGUGUUACCCGCGAAAAGAUUUUUCCCCCUGCAUGCAGACAUCACAUGCAAAAUGGCGUCGAGUUUGAUGACUUGAAAGCAACGUGCCGAUCAGUGAGGAGUCGGAUGCUAUUAUUGCAGCUACAACACUGAGGCACAAAGUCAGGAACACACCACCAUCAUGAUCAUAUCAAGAAUAAACCGUAGACUCAUUGCCAACAGGCUUUUGGAGAUAAGCGGUGGGCGACCCAACAGCACUGCCAUACCUAAGACAGCUCUCUUCCUCUUCUUCAUCGGGAUUGGCCUGUCUGUUUUCAGCUCCCAUCGGCUCCUGACAACACAAUCCUGUCGCUCUCUCCUACCUAAACAGGAAUGAUGUGAUUGCCAGCAGCUAACCUGAUAGAUUUGCCAUAAAUAUCCACUUCUGUCAAGUAUGUGGGAAGGAAGAGGGGUCCAUUUUAAUUCAGUCAAGUUUGAUUUUCAAACUUCAAUUCAACUCAAACCACACUAUGGGAUUUCAGUAUCUAUUUUGCUGGAUUUGGGGCAACCAGCUUCUGUAAACAUGUACAUAGCUUUGUAAAUGAACUCUAACCUUUGACCUGGCAUGAUGGAAAUCAGUGCAGUAAUCAUCCAAUGGAUGUGUACAUAUGUGUCGUAUGGACUAUGAAUUGUUGUUGCUGAUAAAUACAAUAAAGUGUGUAGCAUGUUAUACGGUGGGCUUUAAUGUCAUUUCCAGAAAGAAUUGUGUGCAUGUUUUCAGCUGAUUUGAUUUCCCAACAGCUAUAUGCAUGCAAUUUACAUGCAAUGUACAUAUGAGGAGGUGCUUGUCUGUGAACUGAUUUUCACAGUUACAGUGAAACUUUAUGUACAGUGUACAAACCACAUUAUGCAUUAUACUGUAAUGAAAAUGGUUUGGAUAGGAUGAAGAUAUGGCUUCUUUUUUUUUAAAUGGUUCAAGUCAUAUUGCACAGAAUAUUUGCCAUCAGGAGAGGUGGCAUUUGUGAAGGAAAAAGUCAUGUAAUUGUAACAAUGUUGAAUUAUUCACAGAUUUUACAAAAGAGACUUUAAAGGAUCGUUCCUCAUGUGUUUGCUUUGUAGGAAUGUCGACAAAUUUCUGUAAGAUAAUGAUGUGUCUGUAUUGUGAAAAACAUUAUUGAAGCAAAGAGCAAUUUCAAUGCAUUGUGUAUAUUUUUCAAAAUGGUGUUUAUUUCGUGUAUAGUGUUUGCGGAGGUGGUGAAACUUUGGUUGGCGGCUUAACAAAGGAACUUGUAUGUUAAUUUGAAAAUUGUAUUCAUAAAUACCUGAGACAGUUUACCCAUUCCUAUUGGUCAAGAGCCCGUCACGUGGGUGGUUUUAAACCGCUGAUAAAACACCAGCUGGUUUAAACACAAUUCCUGCGUUUUGUGCCACCAUUGCACAGUACGCGCCGCGCACGCCAAUUUCCGUAUAAGGAGAUUUUUAGCACUAUGCGUGCCAGGCAUAUACCAAACACAUGGCCAGAUGGGUGUUUCACAAAAAAUUGUGCAUUUUUAACUUGUUUUGACUUUUUGACUGAAUGGUAUUUAUGAAUGGGAAUAAAUAUGUGCUUGGCCAGUUUGCCUGAAUGCGGGUAAUGAUCCUCGCCUUCGGCUAGGGCCAUAAUCCAUGUCCAGGCCCCCAGCUGGUUUUACAUAUUUAUUCCCUUAUUAAGGUCUACAAUACUAACUUGGUUUUACUUCGCUUAAUUUUAAAAUUGCGUUAACUUCAGUGUGCAAAUGAUAGUCAUUCAUAGAUUGAAGAGCUUAAUAAAAUGUUAAAGGAGAAUUGCU
This is a long non-coding RNA of Patiria miniata (bat star), 1847 nucleotides long. RefSeq lists it as uncharacterized. The transcript has 3 exons. The record is from RefSeq and is a predicted model, not a curated record. Lineage: Eukaryota; Metazoa; Echinodermata; Asteroidea; Valvatida; Asterinidae.